Molecule: ribosomal RNA, 411 nt
Filed under: uncultured Obesumbacterium sp.
Lineage: Bacteria; Pseudomonadati; Pseudomonadota; Gammaproteobacteria; Enterobacterales; Hafniaceae
Description: bacterial SSU rRNA
Rfam family: Bacterial small subunit ribosomal RNA
Source: RNAcentral
CCUUACCUACUCUUGACAUCCAGAGAAUUUGCUAGAGAUAGCUUAGUGCCUUCGGGAACUCUGAGACAGGUGCUGCAUGGCUGUCGUCAGCUCGUGUUGUGAAAUGUUGGGUUAAGUCCCGCAACGAGCGCAACCCUUAUCCUUUGUUGCCAGCGCGUAAUGGGGGGAACUCAAAGGAGACUGCCGGUGAUAAACCGGAGGAAGGUGGGGAUGACGUCAAGUCAUCAUGGCCCUUACGAGUAGGGCUACACACGUGCUACAAUGGCAUAUACAAAGAGAAGCGAACUCGCGAGAGCAAGCGGACCUCAUAAAGUAUGUCGUAGUCCGGAUUGGAGUCUGCAACUCGACUCCGUGAAGUCGGAAUCGCUAGUAAUCGUAAAUCAAAAUGCUACGGUGAAUACGUUCCCGGGU